UACGUAGGUGGCAAGCGUUAUCCGGAUUUAUUGGGUGUAAAGGGCGUGUAGGCGGGAAAGCAAGUCAGAUGUGAAAACUCAGGGCUCAACCCUGAGCCUGCAUUUGAAACUGUUUUUCUUGAGUGCUGGAGAGGCAAUCGGAAUUCCGUGUGUACCGGUGAAAUGCGUAGAUAUAUGGAGGAACACCGGUGGCGAAAGCGGCUCUCUGGCCUGUAACUGACACUGAGGCUCGAAAGCGUGGGGAGCAAACAGG
RNAcentral lists this ribosomal RNA (253 nucleotides) under uncultured bacterium. RNAcentral's name for it is "partial 16S ribosomal RNA". It matches the Rfam family "Bacterial small subunit ribosomal RNA", at positions 524 to 776 of the family's 1533-position model. The record is from RNAcentral.